Molecule: ribosomal RNA, 497 nt
Filed under: uncultured bacterium
Lineage: Bacteria
Description: partial 16S ribosomal RNA
Rfam family: Bacterial small subunit ribosomal RNA
Source: RNAcentral
GAUGAACGCUGGCGGCGUGCCUAAUACAUGCAAGUCGAACGCAUAGCGAAAGGUGCUUGCACCUUUCAAGUGAGUGGCGAACGGGUGAGUAACACGUGGACAACCUGCCUCAAGGCUGGGGAUAACAUUUGGAAACAGAUGCUAAUACCGAAUAAAACUUAGUGUCGCAUGACACAAAGUUAAAAGGCGCUUCGGCGUCACCUAGAGAUGGAUCCGCGGUGCAUUAGUUAGUUGGUGGGGUAAAGGCCUACCAAGACAAUGAUGCAUAGUCGAGUUGAGAGACUGAUCGGCCACAUUGGGACUGAGACACGGCCCAAACUCCUACGGGAGGCUGCAGUAGGGAAUCUUCCACAAUGGGCGAAAGCCUGAUGGAGCAACGCCGCGUGUGUGAUGAAGGCUUUCGGGUCGUAAAGCACUGUUGUAUGGGAAGAACAGCUAGAAUAGGAAAUGAUUUUAGUUUGACGGUACCAUACCAGAAAGGGACGGCUAAAUACGUG